AGAGGUGGCAAGCGUUGUUCGGAAUUACUGGGCGUAAAGGGCGCGUAGGCGGCCUCGUAAGUCCCGUGUGAAAUCCCUCGGCUCAACUGAGGAAUGGCACGGGAAACUGCGGGGCUUGAGUUCGGGAGAGGGAAGCGGAAUUCCGGGUGUAGCGGUGAAAUGCGUAGAUAUCCGGAGGAACACCGGUGGCGAAGGCGGCUUCCUGGACCGAUACUGACGCUGAGGCGCGAAAGCUAGGGGAGCAAACGGGAUUAGAUACCCCGGUAGUCCUAGCUGUAAACGAUGAGCGCUGGGUGUAGGGGGUUUUAACCCCUCCUGUGCCGAAGCUAACGCAUUAAGCGCUCCGCCUGGGGAGUACGGUCGCAAGGCUG
This 371-nucleotide ribosomal RNA is filed under the name uncultured bacterium. RNAcentral describes it as "bacterial SSU rRNA". It matches the Rfam family "Bacterial small subunit ribosomal RNA", at positions 527 to 896 of the family's 1533-position model. The record is from RNAcentral.